GGGGGUGUAGCUCAGUUGGGAGAGCGAUUGCAUGGCAUGCAAGAGGUCAGGGGUUCGACCCCCCUCACCUCCA
This 73-nucleotide transfer RNA is filed under the name Elusimicrobiota bacterium. Its description in RNAcentral is "tRNA-Ala". It matches the Rfam family "tRNA". From Rfam's summary of the family: Transfer RNA (tRNA) molecules are approximately 80 nucleotides in length. Lineage: Bacteria; Pseudomonadati; Elusimicrobiota. The record is from RNAcentral.